AGGGAGGGGGGGCCCCAGAUGGCCCUGACUCCUAGCCUGGCACUGACCCUCUGAUCUGGACUGUGCCCCCACAGGGGAGCAGCACCACCAGUGGAACCCUGAGGAAACCCCACUCCCAGACUCCCUGCCUAGGGACCCCGGGCCCUGAGGCCCCACCUGGCACAUGAGGUCUACUUUCCCUGUGGCCCCAGGACGUGUGUGGCUCUGCGAUGGGCCUGUGCACCAACCCCUCUAAGUGCCGGGCCCAGGGGCAGGAGCCUGAGCUCCCCAGGACCCCCAGAGCCCCUCCAGGAAUCCCCGGGCCAUGGGCUGGCCCUGCCCCACUGCCUGAGGUUCUGCCCCAUGGUGCUGGCCCUGUCCCCAGGAGGGGUGAGCAGGACGCUGCCCGCAGGGAUGGGUUCCUAGAGAGGGGCUCCACCAACCCACUACCCUCACUGCUCCUGGCUCCUCCCCUCUAGCUCUUUGCCCUUGUCCUUGAAGAGGACUUCCAUACCACUCCCCAGUGUCCCCGCACACCCACUGACCAGGCCAGGCAGUCAGGGCACCUGGGCUGCUCCUGAGCAGUACCCAAUCACCCCCUGACACGAAGCCCCGCGGGCCCCAGCACCGCUCAUAAGGAGCCCUGCCCAUGGCCCUCUGUGGUCCGGGUGGCCCCUCGGGCCCUGGGCUGCACGCCGUCCACAAGGAGGCAGGAUGACUUCCUGUCGCCGCCCAGCAAAUGCCGUGCGGUCCACACCGCAAACCCUCUUUCUUUGAGCUCUAGGAGCCAGAGGCAGGAAGGAGGCCUCCAGGCCAAGUCAACAAGGUUUACACAGGGCCACCCCCCCCCGGGGGGGCUCCUCAGAGAUUCUCUCCCCUGUCCACAUUCUAGAGGCCACCACGUCCUUCUGUGGUCAGCACCCAAGGGAUGACACCGGGUACCCCCAGCAGGGCUCUUCACGCAAGUACACCUGCAGAGUCCCUCCCGUAAGGGGGCAAAGCUACAGGCUGAGGCGUGCAGCCCCCACCCAGCCUCCCACAUACCCUUGGGCCUGGAAAGGGCAGCUGCCCCUGCAGACUCCCCGCCAACCAUCCCCGGGCCACCCCUGCCUGCCAGGGCAGUGAGGGUGUCUCCAGCACCACGGCCUCCGUAAGUAGAGGCCAGCCUCCCUGGGGUGCAGCCAGGGCUCAACCAGAGAAGGUGAGCAGGUCUGCACAGGGCUUCGGUGCACUGGCAGGAAACUGCCACCCUGCUUAUUACAACCACUAAUAAUUAUACCCUCGUGACUCAACCUCCACCAGCUACCCCUAUCCUGGCCUCGCCCAUAGUAUUCUCCUUCCCCAGAGAGAACGCAGCAGAACCCUUUGCCAGAGGCCAUCAGCAGUGAGGCUGCCCGGGAUGCCCCAGGUACUGCCCCGCCCAAGGGCAAAGGCCCCGCCCAAGGGCAGGGCUGUGGCUCCCCUGCGAGGACCCAAGCACCUGCUCCAGGUCGUCGGCAGGGCUGCUGCAAAGGGCUCGGCCUUCCCACGGAAGCACUCCGGGGCAGGCAGGCCUGUCCCCAGGCGUGCCAGCCCAAGACAGCACGUGUGUAUGCCCAGCCAGCCAGCAGAGAAGACGGGAUCAGGAGCUGCUGCUGCCACACGCAGACCACAGGGGCAAGCGUGUGACACGUCUGCAGCACCAACAGGGCCCUACAGUGCCGGCUGGGCGCGCACCCCUCUGCUGGGCCGUGGGGUGUCCCCGCCAAGCCCUCGUCCCCUGGCUUCUCUGAACCUCUCCCCAGAGCCUGUGACCAAGAAUGGGUCCCUCUUCUCGCGUCUGAAGGGCAAGACCCCACAGUGACCUCUGGCCAGGCGGGCAGCCUCCGGAGAGGCCCAGCCGGUUCCAGGUGGAGAGCUAGCAAGGCCGCCCUCUCCCCCUCACCAGGCCACAGGGGCCCGCUCAGCCCAGAAGCACAAAGGGCCUGCCUCAAAGCGCGAAUCCGUGAGCCAUCCAGGAAGCAGCCCGCGGGGCCGGAACGUUCCAGGAUCACCGUCUCAUCCCUCGGAACAGAGCAGCCCUUUGUUUGCUAUCUCGGCCAUCAUCAAAUAUUUACAGGGGCUCACGGCCUAUUCCAGGCAGGCCGCUGGGAGCCAACUGCCGCACUCCCCUGGACACGCGGAGGCGCAGGGAUCACUGUGGGGAGGCCUCCCUCCUGAACAUGUUGGGAGACUCACCACCUCAGGAAGGCGGGCGUGAGAGGGACCACCUGUCCGGGCCCUCCUGGCACCAACACCCCUGGAUAGACCUACGGGGAGCCCCUAACCCAGAGCUGCCGCCUUGUGCCCAGGAAGACUCAGUCCAGCACCAGCUUCUCCCCGCACAGCCAGCCCAGUGGAGAACUUUCUAGAACAGCACACAGACAGCGACAAACCCUGAACCACAGCCUCCAUGUAAAAACCAACGGCAUGAGAAGACCCUUUAGACACAGAAAGAUUUUAAUACCUGUCACACCCCCCUGGGGCACCUGGAUGGCAUAGUCGGAUGAGCACCCGACUCCUGAUUUCAGCUCAGGUGGUGAUCUCAGGAUCCUGGGAUCCAGCCCCACAUGGCCCCCUGCGCAGGGCAGAGUCCACUGAGGUUUCCCUCUCUCCCUCAGCCCCUCCCACCACACGCAAACAUGCCCUCUUUCUAAAAAUAAAAUAAAUCCUAAAAAACUGAAUGAAUGAA
Long non-coding RNA from Canis lupus familiaris (dog), 2689 nucleotides. RefSeq lists it as uncharacterized. The record is from RefSeq and is a predicted model, not a curated record. Lineage: Eukaryota; Metazoa; Chordata; Mammalia; Carnivora; Canidae. The transcript is spliced from 2 exons.